RNAcentral lists this unclassified non-coding RNA (303 nucleotides) under Hevea brasiliensis (rubber tree). Lineage: Eukaryota; Viridiplantae; Streptophyta; Magnoliopsida; Malpighiales; Euphorbiaceae. The record is from RNAcentral.
AUGUUCCAUGACAAGGAAAGCAUGACCCCUCUUCUCGAGUUUCUUCGAGUUCACCACUACAAUGGAAAGUCAAUGAUGCUGAAUGAUAGAAUUCAGAAUUUGUAUACUCUCCAAAAAGUCCUGAGGAAGGCCGAGGAAUACCUCACCACCCUUUCGCCAGAAACUUCAUACUCCUCAUUUGAGCACAAGUUCCAAGAAAUUGGCUUGGAGAGAGGUUGGGGUGACACCGCAGAGCGUGUUCUAGAGAUGAUCUGCAUGCUCCUGGAUCUCCUUGAGGCUCCUGACUCAUGUACUCUUGAGAAG